GGGUCUGUAGCUCAGGUGGUUAGAGCGCACCCCUGAUAAGGGUGAGGUCGGUGGUUCAAGUCCACCCAGACCCA
Non-coding RNA from Marinobacter salinus, 74 nucleotides. The record is from Rfam. NCBI's taxonomy places the organism in Bacteria, Pseudomonadati, Pseudomonadota, Gammaproteobacteria, Pseudomonadales, Marinobacteraceae.